RNAcentral lists this transfer RNA (61 nucleotides) under Monotomidae sp. KM-2017. RNAcentral describes it as "tRNA-Ala". The record is from RNAcentral. Lineage: Eukaryota; Metazoa; Arthropoda; Insecta; Coleoptera; Monotomidae.
AGGAUAAUAGUUAAUAAUAACAUUUAAUUUGCAUUUAAAAAUUACUGUCUCAGUUUAUCUU